GUGGGGAAUCUUCCGCAAUGGACGAAAGUCUGACGGAGCAACGCCGCGUGAGUGAUGAAGGUCUUCGGAUUGUAAAGCUCUGUUAAUCGGGACGAAAGAGCCUAGUGUGAAUAAUGCUAGGAAGUGACGGUACCGGAAUAGAAAGCCACGGCUAACUACGUGCCAGCAGCCGCGGUAAUACGUAGGUGGCAAGCGUUGUCCGGAAUUAUUGGGCGUAAAGCGCGCGCAGGCGGAUCUGCCAGUCUGUCUUAAAAGUUCGGGGCUUAACCCCGUGAUGGGAUGGAAACUACAGAUCUAGAGUAUCGGAGAGGAAAGCGGAAUUCCUAGUGUAGCGGUGAAAUGCGUAGAUAUUAGGAGGAACACCAGUGGCGAAAGCGGCUUUCUGGACGACAACUGACGCUGAGGCGCGAAAGCCAGGGGAGCAAACGGGAUUAGAUACCCCAGUAGUCC
This 450-nucleotide ribosomal RNA is filed under the name uncultured bacterium. RNAcentral describes it as "partial 16S ribosomal RNA". It matches the Rfam family "Bacterial small subunit ribosomal RNA", at positions 354 to 796 of the family's 1533-position model. The record is from RNAcentral.